GACGAACGCUGGCGGCGUGCUUAACACAUGCAAGUCGAACGGAAAGGCCCUGCUUUUGUGGGGUGCUCGAGUGGCGAACGGGUGAGUAACACGUGAGUAACCUGCCCUUGACUUUGGGAUAACUUCAGGAAACUGGGGCUAAUACCGGAUAGGAGCUCCUGCUGCAUGGUGGGGGUUGGAAAGUUUCGGCGGUCGGGGAUGGACUCGCGGCUUAUCAGCUUGUUGGUGGGGUAGUGGCUUACCAAGGCUUUGACGGGUAGCCGGCCUGAGAGGGUGACCGGCGACAUUGGGACUGAGAUACGGCGCAGACUCCUACGGGAGGCAGCAGUGGGGAGUAUUGCACAAUGGGCGGAAGCCGGAUGCAGCAACGCCGGGGGCGGGAUGACGGCCUUCGGGUUGUAAACCGCUUUCGCCUGUGACGAAGCGGGAGUGACGGUAAUGGGUAAAGAAGCACCGGCUAACUACGUG
This 468-nucleotide ribosomal RNA is filed under the name uncultured bacterium. Its description in RNAcentral is "partial 16S ribosomal RNA". It matches the Rfam family "Bacterial small subunit ribosomal RNA", at positions 28 to 507 of the family's 1533-position model. The record is from RNAcentral.